RNAcentral lists this long non-coding RNA (594 nucleotides) under Hordeum vulgare. Its description in RNAcentral is "long non-coding RNA (HVUL_LNC019111)". Lineage: Eukaryota; Viridiplantae; Streptophyta; Magnoliopsida; Poales; Poaceae. The record is from RNAcentral.
GUGUGCAUGGCACGUGAGCUGGAAAAGUAUGUAGUAUAUUCACCAAAAAAGAAGUAUACAAAAGAGUAGUAAGAAGUGAUGAUAUGUGAGCUAAUAAAUAUGUAGUAUAAUCAUUGGAAAAAAAGUAUAUAAAAAAGUAUUAUGAAGUAUGUGUGAUGAUAUAUCUAAGCUGAAAAAGUAUGUAAUGUAUAUGGAGUAUAUAACUAAAAAGGGAGUAUAUGAUGAAUGCAUAGAAUUCUGCAUUAUUAUUUUUUAAAUCUAAUGAUGCAUGCAUUGAGAUCAAGGGUAGUCAUUCACUUGCAUACCUCUUUUUUCCAAUUAGUAUAAUCGAAAGAUGCAUGGUUGGAAAUCACGGCAAACCCGCUCUUGGGGUAGCUUUGGAUUCAAUGGAGAGAGGUAAUGGGAGAUUAGAAAAAGGAGACAGAUAGGAUUUUUGUUGGGUUGGAUCACGACGACCCAGGUAUAUAGGGUCCGAUCAGUUCGGAAGGUUAGCAAGAGCGUCCCAGGUGGAAAAAAUAAGCAAAUUUACCGUUCACACUACCCGUUAAGAAUUUUAUUAGAUCUGGCGUAAUCUGACGGUAAUCAAGGCAGAGG